Molecule: long non-coding RNA, 2155 nt
Organism: Sarcophilus harrisii (Tasmanian devil)
Lineage: Eukaryota; Metazoa; Chordata; Mammalia; Dasyuromorphia; Dasyuridae
Source: Ensembl
CCGCCCCGCCGCCGCCCUUUGUCCGCCGCGAGCCGGAGCCGCCGCCGGAGCCUCCGGAGCCGCCGCCGCCGCCGCCUCUGUGUCUCGCUGGCUCCCCCUUCCCCGACCACACCCCCUUAAAGGGCCCGCCUCGCUGCGGGCCGCCCCCUCCCCAGGCCGGGCCGCCCUCCGCGCUCGGACCCGGGCCCGCCCCCGGCCCCCCCUCAGCCCGGGCCCCCGGCGCCCCCGGCCUCAGGCUGCGGGGAGCCCCGAUGCGGAGCGGCUGGGGGCGGGGGGCGUCCUGCCUCUGUCGCUGACUGCCCUCUGCCCGCGCCGCGCGGCGGAGGUGAGAGACCACGGGGGGCGGGGGCGACCGGUACCGCUGGGCCGGGCUCGGGGGUCUGCGGGAAGGGGCCCCUAAGAUGGCUGCGCCCCGGGCAGUCUGGGCAAUGUAGUUCCGAGGGUCUGCGCUGGGCCGCCCAUCCCCCCACCGGACGCUCAGGCCCCUCCCCCCAGGGUCUCCUAGCUCCGGAAGAGCGUUGGGAGCCGCGACGCGGCCCGGGGCCCACGCGGGCUCGGGCCUUGGCGGAGCGCCUCCCGCGGCGGGCCGUGGCGCCCUCUGCCCGGGGGCCCCGGAACUGGCGGCUGCUGGUCCGCCCGGCAAAGCCGCCCAGGGCCCGGCCGCUCCCCGCUCAGCUCGUAUCCCCGGCGGGGAACUGAGGCACCCGGGCCGCCCGGCGGAAGCGCCCGGCGCCCCCCAGCGGCCUCAAGGCGAAGCGCCCCGCGUCCCCCCUGCUGCCGGGAGGGCUCUGAAUCGCCGUCGGGCAUUUGGCAGAGCCGCAGCAGCAGCAGUGACCGAGUGGAACUGGCCGGAGCCCGAAUGGCGGCGGAGACGACUUAGGAGCCCGCGGUGUGCCCGGACAGGCCCGAGCUGGGGCAAGGCCCAGGGACUGUCCGGGGCCAGGAACGGCCACAGAAGCAGGGUGGGCGAGCGGGGAGGAAGCCGGAGGCUCCGGAGAAACGUCUGCCCUCUGCUCCCGGCUCCGCCAGGCCUUUCAUGAACUGGAGGGAGCGGCCCAAGGGGAGGCCCCGGACUUGGGACCUCCGGUCAGCGCCCAACCCAGUUCUAGAGGAGUCCGUGAAAGGGGCUGCCCGAGGAGAGAGCUGGGGACCCUCGGGGCCCAUGGCGCCGCCUUUUCUUCCUUUCACUUUCCCUGUUUGUGCACGGGCUCAUGCGGGAGGAUGGUCGGUGGUUGUAUGUUUGCGGUUUGCUUUUUUUGCCUUCUCCAUGUGUGGGGGAAGGAAGAGAAAGAAUUCAGAACUAAAAUAAAAUAAAACUGAAUUUUAGAAAUCAAUUGAGACUUUUUUUAGUGGCGCAGGAGAUAAGUUGCUGGGACUGGAGUAAAAAAAGGGAAUUCAGAUCCACUUUUGGAUACUUACUGGCUAUGUGGCGCUGGUCGGAUUGUUCCACCUCAGACGGCCUCAGUCUCCUCCUCUGUGAAAUGGGGGCAUCUCAUAUUUGCGGAGCACCUGGCGGCAGCAGGCAUUCUGUCACAUAAAUCCCAUCAAAGCAUGAUCAAGACUCCCUUCAGUUCUGACCUGAUGUGGGUCAUUUCACUCCAAGAAGACAAGGACUUGUCCAAAGUCACCGGCAAAGCGGGGACUCUGAACUCAAGGCCCAUCCGCUUUGAGCCGUGCUUGUCACCUCCACGAUGGACAUUUUCGAAGUCUGCUGGACCCGGUCUCCUCUGAGGCUCCCGAUCUCCCUCCAGCCCAGUGUCCCCGACUCCAGGCCUCCCUCCCCUUUCGGUAACUUCCCCAGUGUGUGUGGGGGGGAACAAAGGACAAAAUGAGGAGAGGAAUGGGAACUGUGCCCCCAGCCCACGUGGGCAGAGAGCCGCUGGGUCGCAGCAGCCCCCACUCCCAAGCCUGGGGAGGGCCUGGCCCUGCUGGGAGGCUGGUUCCGGGUGGCCGAGGGAUCAGUCUGAAGUCAGAGACGCUUCCAGGAGAAGGACCGAGGCUGGAGGCCGAGGCCCGCUCCCUCUUUCCUGGCGGGGUCUCCACCCUUAAAAGCUGGGCUGUUGGACUGGUCAGUCACUGGGGGGGAGGGGCUGGAAGGCUCCCUGGAGGAGGGGGAUGGUGGUAGCCGCAAAUGUCACCCAGGAAGCCCUUUUCC